This 461-nucleotide ribosomal RNA is filed under the name Streptococcus sp. oral taxon 064. Its description in RNAcentral is "bacterial SSU rRNA". It matches the Rfam family "Bacterial small subunit ribosomal RNA", at positions 28 to 473 of the family's 1533-position model. Lineage: Bacteria; Bacillati; Bacillota; Bacilli; Lactobacillales; Streptococcaceae. The record is from RNAcentral.
GACGAACGCUGGCGGCGUGCCUAAUACAUGCAAGUAGAACGCUGAAGGAGGAGCUUGCUCUUCUGGAUGAGUUGCGAACGGGUGAGUAGCGCGUAGGUAACCUGCCUGGUAGCGGGGGAUAACUAUUGGAAACGAUAGCUAAUACCGCAUAAUAGUAGAUGUUGCAUGACAUUUACUUGAAAGGUGCAAUUGCAUCACUACCAGAUGGACCUGCGUUGUAUUAGCUAGUUGGUGGGGUAACGGCUCACCAAGGCGACGAUACAUAGCCGACCUGAGAGGGUGAUCGGCCACACUGGGACUGAGACACGGCCCAGACUCCUACGGGAGGCAGCAGUAGGGAAUCUUCGGCAAUGGACGGAAGUCUGACCGAGCAACGCCGCGUGAGUGAAGAAGGUUUUCGGAUUGUAAAGCUCUGUUGUAAGAAAAGAACGAGUGUGAGAGUGGAAAGUUCACACUGUGAC